GCGAGACUCCGUGUCAAAAAAAAAAAAGAUUCCUCAUCUUCGAACUGGUAUUUCUCUAGAGAAGGAGAAUUGGGCUGAGUGGCCCUAAACAUCAGAGUCCUAAGCUUCCGUUUUGCAGAUGAGAAGCAGGCCCAGAGCGAGACAGUGACUUAAUAUUGUUCCCAUCACAGAGCCCAGGCUCGGAUUCUUUCCAAAGCACUCGGGGGCUGGUGCCCAAUUCCAUUGCCGGGGGACUCUACAGCCAUCCACCGAGGCCAGGCUUCUCUGAAGGGAGUUGAAGAUAACGGGCAGCAGGUGUUUGCUAGCAGACACUCAAUCUUCCCACACCCCAUCAGCAGACAGCCCUGGCAGAGGGGAAUCUGAGGCCCCAGCUCAGUGGGAGAGGCAGGAGGUGGCUUUGUCCUGAGGGCGCCGUGGACCAAGGA
Macaca mulatta (Rhesus monkey) is the source of this 425-nucleotide long non-coding RNA. RefSeq lists it as uncharacterized. The record is from RefSeq and is a predicted model, not a curated record. Lineage: Eukaryota; Metazoa; Chordata; Mammalia; Primates; Cercopithecidae.